RNAcentral lists this ribosomal RNA (433 nucleotides) under uncultured bacterium. RNAcentral's name for it is "partial 16S ribosomal RNA". It matches the Rfam family "Bacterial small subunit ribosomal RNA", at positions 29 to 507 of the family's 1533-position model. The record is from RNAcentral.
AACGAACGCUGGCGGCAUGCCUAACACAUGCAAGUCGAACGAGACCUUCGGGUCUAGUGGCGCACGGGUGCGUAACGCGUGGGAACCUGCCCUUAGGUUCGGAAUAACUCCCCGAAAGGGGUGCUAAUACCGGAUAAUGUCUUCGGACCAAAGAUUUAUCGCCUUUGGAUGGGCCCGCGUUGGAUUAGCUAGUUGGUAGGGUAAAAGCCUACCAAGGCGACGAUCCAUAGCUGGUCUGAGAGGAUGAUAAGCCACACUGGGACUGAGACACGGCCCAGACUCCUACGGGAGGCAGCAGUGGGGAAUAUUGGACAAUGGGCGAAAGCCUGAUCCAGCAAUGCCGCGUGAGUGAUGAAGGCCUUAGGGUUGUAAAGCUCUUUUACACGGGAUGAUAAUGACAGUACCGGGAGAAUAAGCUCCGGCUAACUCCGUG